AAGAACAGUCUUACAAAAGUUACGAUGGAAAUGGCGGAGGAUUGCCCAACCAACAACGUAAAUGCAGAAUGCACCCACAUGACUUGUGCAGACGGUUUUCACAGGGAAUGCGUUAACCAAAUUUGCACGUGCUCAACCAACACAGAAUGCAUGUUACAGACCGACUGCCGUAACACCGCGGAUCGAACCUGCAACAAGAGGUGGCACUGCGUAGACAACAGAUGUCGCUGCUACUGAAGAACCGCAGGAUGCUCGUUCAUACAAUAAUGUGAUCUGCGUUAAUUGAUGAUGACUUAAAUAAAGUAUCGGGGCUAUAAGGUUUGAAAA
Long non-coding RNA from Dreissena polymorpha, 327 nucleotides. RefSeq lists it as uncharacterized. The record is from RefSeq and is a predicted model, not a curated record. The transcript is spliced from 3 exons. Lineage: Eukaryota; Metazoa; Mollusca; Bivalvia; Myida; Dreissenidae.